GCUCAGAUUGAACGCUGGCGGCAGGCCUAACACAUGCAAGUCGAGCGGCAGCGACAUGAUAGAAGCUUCGGUGGACAUCAUGGGCGGCGAGCGGCGGACGGGUGAGUAAUGCCUGGGAAUAUGCCCUGAUGUGGGGGAUAACCAUUGGAAACGAUGGCUAAUACCGCAUAAUCUCUUCGGAGCAAAGAGGGGGACCUUCGGGCCUCUCGCGUCAGGAUUAGCCCAGGUGGGAUUAGCUAGUUGGUGAGGUAAAGGCUCACCAAGGCGACGAUCCCUAGCUGGUCUGAGAGGAUGAUCAGCCACACUGGAACUGAGACACGGUCCAGACUCCUACGGGAGGCAGCAGUGGGGAAUAUUGCACAAUGGGGGAAACCCUGAUGCAGCCAUGCCGCGUGUAUGAAGAAGGCCUUCGGGUUGUAAAGUACUUUCAGCAGUGAGGAAGGUGGUGUCGUUAAUAGCGGC
RNAcentral lists this ribosomal RNA (462 nucleotides) under Photobacterium sp. 2S3(2010). RNAcentral's name for it is "bacterial SSU rRNA". It matches the Rfam family "Bacterial small subunit ribosomal RNA", at positions 22 to 470 of the family's 1533-position model. The record is from RNAcentral. Lineage: Bacteria; Pseudomonadati; Pseudomonadota; Gammaproteobacteria; Vibrionales; Vibrionaceae.